Molecule: ribosomal RNA, 484 nt
Filed under: uncultured bacterium
Lineage: Bacteria
Description: partial 16S ribosomal RNA
Rfam family: Bacterial small subunit ribosomal RNA
Source: RNAcentral
AUUGAACGCUGGCGGCAGGCCUAACACAUGCAAGUCGAGCGGAUGAAGGGAGCUUGCGCCUGGAUUCAGCGGCGGACGGGUGAGUAAUGCCUAGGAAUCUGCCUGGUAGUGGGGGAUAACGUCCGGAAACGGGCGCUAAUACCGCAUACGUCCUGAGGGAGAAAGUGGGGGAUCUUCGGACCUCACGCUAUCAGAUGAGCCUAGGUCGGAUUAGCUAGUUGGUGGGGUAAAGGCCUACCAAGGCGACGAUCCGUAACUGGUCUGAGAGGAUGAUCAGUCACACUGGAACUGAGACACGGUCCAGACUCCUACGGGAGGCAGCAGUGGGGAAUAUUGGACAAUGGGCGAAAGCCUGAUCCAGCCAUGCCGCGUGUGUGAAGAAGGUCUUCGGAUUGUAAAGCACUUUAAGUUGGGAGGAAGGGCAGUAAGUUAAUCCCUUGCUGUUUUGACGUUACCAACAGAAUAAGCACCGGCUAACUUCGUG